Molecule: long non-coding RNA, 2568 nt
Organism: Cavia porcellus (domestic guinea pig)
Lineage: Eukaryota; Metazoa; Chordata; Mammalia; Rodentia; Caviidae
Exons: 3
Source: RefSeq, a predicted model, not a curated record
UUCAAUUUCUGCAACUCUAACAUAUAAAAGAUUACAUUUCUUGUCACCAUUUCUAUAUGAUCUUCCUUUGUCUGCUGGGUUUUGAGAAGGGAAAAAUUCAACCAGACUUUCUCCUGCCCAGGCUGUCCCCACGGAUUGGUCCUGAGUCACAUCUAUUCCCACCUGUCACACUUGUCCAGCCAUGAAGCCUGGCCUGGCUGCGAGGUGGACAGGGUGCCAGGCAUCUGCUCAGGGCCUCCUUGGAUCUGAAUGUCUGCUGUGCUGUUCUCUCUUCUACUCAUGACAGCAUGAGGAAUCCUAGCUCAGGAGCAGUAAGGGGUGACCCCAAUUGGUUACAGUUUCUUUCAGAUCUGUCAUUCACAGCAUAAACUCUGUGUCCUCACUCUUGCAGGACUCGGCAGCGGAAAGCCCAGGUCUUGUAACAAAAACCUUGGAAGCUUUUGUGACUUUAAAUGCUGGGAGCUGGCUCUAUAUGUCGUCUCUAUUUUGCUGAGGUCCCUCAUUCAGGAGGCAAUGGGUCAUCUGGCUCAGUUCAGCUGCUCCAUGGAGGUACCAAAAAAUCCCCUUAAGAUCCCUCAAAUGCCCACUUAUCUGCCAUUUCUCGGUCAUUCAGCCUGGGCAGCGGUCCUACAUGAGAGCAACUUUCUUUGCUUCCUUAAGAGAAUACUUGGCCACCCUAUGUCUUGGGAUGCUUUAAUUCUUAAUUCAGUGAUACCUUAGUUUUAGUAAACUUUUUAAGCAGAAUAGCUCAUGUAUGUGUUCUACAGAAGCCUAGAAUCUCCAUGGACCUUGUUCAGCGCUGCCUUCCUGCAGCCAAGAUGCACCCAGAACCCUUGGAGAAAGCGUCACAGAGGCAGGCCCACCGCAGGAGAGUUUGAUCUACAUCUUUUCCUGCUUCAGGUCCCAGAUGUUGAGUGUCAAACCACAAAAUAUAAAACAGAAUUUGUUUCAUGCACUAACUGAUCAAUGCUGAGGACGGGUUGCUGUUGUGUUAAGAAGGAUUCUGAGAGUGCUCAGCGGGGAAGACUGGCCGAUAAUAUUUCACAUGAGCCUGAGAAUGGAGACAAGGGCAACACUCUCAUACAGUUGUUGUAGCACUUGGUCAAAUUCAUUCUCUCUGCAACACAUAAGAAGUCCCCCUUGUCCCCUGCAACCAGAUUAAAAGCCUGAUCCUCCAUUUUGUCGAAGUCUCAGAUCACAAGGUCACUAUGCCAUCAGGACCCCAAAUCAGCCACAUAUGUACAGCAUCUACAGGAAACGGGCUGCUGGCUCUUCAGGUUCUGAACCGACAGGGGGCAGCAGAGAGCAAGGAAGCACUCUACUCCAGGAACCCUUCCUCUCCUGUCUCUCUGGAAGUGAAUCCUGUGGACUGUCGGAGACUGUUGUCUACACAUCGAUGUGGUCAAAGGGGGCAGCAGGAAGGGCUAGAGGGAGGGAAACUUUAUUUGGGUUCACAUGGAGACAAGCUUUGCUGGGCGCCUCACUGCUUCAGGACGGAAGAGGAAGAAGUCACAAUGGUAAGAGCAGUCGCUGCCACUGUGCGGCCCCCAGAAGGAGCCCUGUCCUCUGGGGAUGCUCCUUCUUUCCAUUCUCUCUGAAAUUUCUGGAGGUGGGUGAAUCUCCAGUGUACAGAUGUGCAAAAGGAUCCCGGAGUGGUUAAAUGUCUUGCCUGAGAAUCACUUACUCUCUUAAGCACAGGCUGAGCUACACUUUGGACGCCUGUCUGCCCAGGACUUCAUGAUGUGAUACCAUUCGAGGAAGGAGGCCAGAAGGGGCGUCUGGCUUUUGGACGGCCUGGGGGAGGUCUGUGGGUCCAAGAGGAGACAAAUGGCCCUUAUGUCCCAGCCUACUGUCUCCUGAAGGCCACAGAUCCCCAGUACAUUCUGCCACCUACUGGGCAUGUCCACCAGGGAAUCCUGUUGCCAGACACGGUGGCCUAGGUGACAACCAGGGCUACGCCAAAGAACGGCCUCAGAAAAGGAUAAGAAGAAGGAUGGUAGAAGCUAGUAUGGAACCUUCAAAGACUUACCACAGAAGUUCAUCUAACCACCCACGGUGGGAGGUCAUUAUGGCGCCUUGGAAAGUCACACUAGAGCCUGCUUCCUCCACCCUCAGCUCCACCCUGGGCUCGGAGAUCAUGCCUGGUGUCAGGAAGAGCACUUUCCAGAACAUCCGAAACUUCUGGGGUGGGCAUGGUGGUGUUGACACCAGUGUCAUCUUUCUGUCAGGAUGGCUGAGAUUCUAAGAACUCUCUACUAAUACCAGCCUGCCUCUCACCACUGGGCUGGUGCUUCAAUAACUUCCCUGUCCCUUGGGUCACUGUGACCAGCCCCCUGGCUUCUUUAACCACCAUCUGUGUUCCCCACCUAACAGUGGGACAUCCAAAUCCACCAAGAGAGCCACAUGUGUGAAACUAGCACAGGUCCUAGCUGUGAGCUGAGCCCACUUCUUAAUUCAAUUGCUUUUUUAGAAUUGUUUUUCUUCUUUAAAAAAUACAUUAAAGCAUAAAGGAGAAGAAAAUACCCUCCUACCUUCCUUUCUUGGCUCAUGUUUCCUAACUAUACUUCU